This 253-nucleotide ribosomal RNA is filed under the name uncultured bacterium. Its description in RNAcentral is "partial 16S ribosomal RNA". It matches the Rfam family "Bacterial small subunit ribosomal RNA", at positions 524 to 776 of the family's 1533-position model. The record is from RNAcentral.
UACGGGGGGAGCUAGCGUUGUUCGGAAUUACUGGGCGUAAAGCGCGCGUAGGCGGUUAUUUAAGUUAGAGGUGAAAGCCCGGGGCUCAACCCCGGAAUUGCCUUUGAAACUGGAAAACUUGAAUCUUGGAGAGGUCAGUGGAAUUCCGAGUGUAGAGGUGAAAUUCGUAGAUAUUCGGAAGAACACCAGUGGCGAAGGCGACUGACUGGACAAGUAUUGACGCUGAGGUACGGAAGCGUGGGGAGCAAACAGG